Molecule: long non-coding RNA, 746 nt
Organism: Homo sapiens (human)
Lineage: Eukaryota; Metazoa; Chordata; Mammalia; Primates; Hominidae
Gene: PMS2P4
Product: PMS1 homolog 2, mismatch repair system component pseudogene 4
Source: Ensembl
AGGCCCCGAGGCGGAUCGGGUAUUGAGUCCAUGGAGCGAGCUGAGAGCUAGAGUACAGAACCUGCUAAGGCCAUCAAACCUAUCGAUCGGAAGUCAGUCCAUCAGAUUUGCUCUGGGCCGGUGGUACUGAGUCUAAGCACUGCGGUGAAGGAGUUAGUAGAAAACAGUCUGGAUGCUGGUGCCACCAAUAUUGAUCUAAAGCUUAAGGACUAUGGAGUGGAUCUCAUUGAAGUUUCAGACAAUGGAUGUGGGGUAGAAGAAGAAAACUUUGAAGGCUUAAUCUCUUUCAGCUCUGAAACAUCACACAUGUAAGAUUCAAGAGUUUGCCAACCUAACUGAGGUUGAAACUUUCGGCUUUCAGGGGGAAGCUCUGAGCUCACUGUGUGCACUGAGCGAUGUCACCAUUUCUACCUGCCACGCAUCGGCGAAGGUUGGGACUCGACUGGUGUUUGAUCACGAUGGGAAAAUCAUCCAGAAAACCCCCUACCCCCACCCCAGAGGGACCACAGUCAGCGUGAAGCAGUUAUUUUCUACACUACCUGUGCACCAUAAGGAAUUUCAAAGGAAUAUUAAGAAGGUACAGUAAAUUAAUCCUGGUUUUCAAGAGUAUUGGUUAAUGCACAUGAGCAAAAGAUUUACUAAAGAUGUUUAUUCUUCAGUUGAUUCUCUUACCAUAAUCUAUUGAGACAUGCUUUAUUUGCAUUUCUCGUUAAAGACUUAACAUUAAAGACUUAACUUUAGGGUGA